AGGAAAAGAAACUAACAAGGAUUCCCCUAGUAACUGCGAGUGAAGCGGGAAAAGCUCAAAUUUAAAAUCUGGCAGUCUUUGAUUGUCCGAGUUGUAAUCUAGAGAAGUGUUAUCCGCGCUGGACCGUGUAAAAGUCUCCUGGAAUGGAGCAUCAUAGAGGGUGAGAAUCCCGUCUUUGACAUGGACUACCAGUGCUUUGUGAUGCGCUCUCAAAGAGUCGAGUUGUUUGGGAAUGCAGCUCAAAAUGGGUGGUAAAUUCCAUCUAAAGCUAAAUAUUGGCGAGAGACCGAUAGCGAACAAGUACCGUGAGGGAAAGAUGAAAAGAACUUUGGAAAGAGAGUUAAACAGUACGUGAAAUUGCUGAAAGGGAAACGCUUGAAGUCAGUCGCGUUGGCCAGGAAUCAACCUUGCUUUUGCUGGGCGUACUUUCUGGUUGACGGGUCAGCAUCAAUUUUGACUGCUGGAGAAAGUUCAAGGGAAUGUGGCAUCUUCGGGUGUGUUAUAGCCCUUGUUCGCAUACAGCAGUUGGGAUUGAGGAACUCAGCACGCCGCAAGGCCGGGUUUCGACCACGUUCGUGCUUAGGAUGCUGGCAUAAUGGCUUUAAUCGACCCGUCUUGAAACACGGACCAAGGAGUCUAACAUGCCUGCGAGUGUUUGGGUGGAAAACUCAAGCGCGCAAUGAAAGUAAAAGUUGAGAUCCCUGUCGUGGGGAGCAUCGACGCCCGGACCAGACCUUUUGUGACGGAUCUGCGGUAGAGCAUGUAUGUUGGGACCCGAAAGAUGGUGAACUAUGCCUGAAUAGGGUGAAGCCAGAGGAAACUCUGGUGGAGGCUCGUAGCGAUUCUGACGUGCAAAUCGAUCGUCAAAUUUGGGUAUAGGGGCGAAAGACUAAUCGAACCAUCUAGUA
Molecule: ribosomal RNA, 908 nt
Filed under: Bolbitius coprophilus
Lineage: Eukaryota; Fungi; Basidiomycota; Agaricomycetes; Agaricales; Bolbitiaceae
Description: eukaryotic LSU rRNA
Rfam family: Eukaryotic large subunit ribosomal RNA
Source: RNAcentral